GACAGGGGACCCGAGCGUUAAUCGGAAUCACUGGGCUUAAAGGGUGCGUAGGCGGAUCGCUAAGCGUCGUGUGAAAUCCCCCGGCUCAACCGGGGAACGGCACGGCGAACUGGUGGUCUUGAGGUAGGUAGGGGCGGACGGAACUGUAGGUGGAGCGGUGAAAUGCGUAGAUAUCUACAGGAACGCCGAUGGUGAAGACAGUCCGCUGGGCCUAUUCUGACGCUGAGGCACGAAAGCGUGGGGAGCAAAC
RNAcentral lists this ribosomal RNA (250 nucleotides) under uncultured bacterium. RNAcentral's name for it is "partial 16S ribosomal RNA". It matches the Rfam family "Bacterial small subunit ribosomal RNA", at positions 524 to 773 of the family's 1533-position model. The record is from RNAcentral.